AUUAAACGCUGGCGGCAGGCCUAACACAUGCAAGUCGAGCGGAUGAAGGGAGCUUGCUCCUGGAUUCAGCGGCGGACGGGUGAGUAAUGCCUAGGAAUCUGCCUGGUAGUGGGGGAUAACGUCCGGAAACGGGCGCUAAUACCGCAUACGUCCUGAGGGAGAAAGUGGGGGAUCUUCGGACCUCACGCUAUCAGAUGAGCCUAGGUCGGAUUAGCUAGUUGGUGGGGUAAAGGCCUACCAAGGCGACGAUCCGUAACUGGUCUGAGAGGAUGAUCAGUCACACUGGAACUGAGACACGGUCCAGACUCCUACGGGAGGCAGCAGUGGGGAAUAUUGGACAAAGGGCGAAAGCCUGAUCCAGCCAUGCCGCGUGUGUGAAGAAGGUCUUCGGAUUGUAAAGCACUUUAAGUUGGGAGGAAGGGCAGUAAGUUAAUACCUUGCUGUUUUGACGUUACCAACAGAAUAAGCACCGGCUAACUUCGUG
This 484-nucleotide ribosomal RNA is filed under the name uncultured bacterium. RNAcentral's name for it is "partial 16S ribosomal RNA". It matches the Rfam family "Bacterial small subunit ribosomal RNA", at positions 30 to 507 of the family's 1533-position model. The record is from RNAcentral.